Long non-coding RNA from Cervus elaphus (red deer), 712 nucleotides. RefSeq lists it as uncharacterized. The transcript is spliced from 3 exons. Lineage: Eukaryota; Metazoa; Chordata; Mammalia; Artiodactyla; Cervidae. The record is from RefSeq and is a predicted model, not a curated record.
GGUCUGGAGCCCGGACACUCUCUUAUCACAGCGGCCUUCCCAGGCCUGCACAAUGCUGAGCUUUCAAGAUGGUGAUCAGCUGAGGUCAUCUUGAUGAGACAGAUCAUCAGCUUACUUCUUGCCCCACAGGUCCCACUCCUUGCUGCAGCUCCUGACUACACACCGAGCCCAGCGUGUUUGAUUCUGCGGGUGGCAGGUGCCCCGUGUGGCUGGUUACAGACUCUGCUCCCGAAUGUCUUGCUGUCUGCUACCCACUGCACUGAAGAAGGGAGGAAAAGUAUGCCCUCGGGAGCUGACCUGGUGAUGGAUGUUGGCAAGGCUCUCAGUCUGGACUUUGGAAGAGAAGUUCUCUUUGUCAGAAACCUUCAACAAAGUGGUCUUGAAGUGAUCAGGGAAGGCUGCCUGAAGGAUGCGGAGCUGGAGGCUGAAGGGGAGCAGGAUGUGUGCUGGAAGAGAGAGAAAAGAAGAGCAAGCACUGAGUGAUGGGGAGAGGGUCCGGGGAGGUCCUGGCCUGGAAACGAGGCAAGGGGCUCGGAGGGCAGCUGCCGGCUGGAGGAAAGGAAGUAACCGUCUUGCAACCCCUAGAGGGCAUCUUAUCUCAAAAUUGAGGUUGCAUGAGAGAGGAGUCCAGAAAAAAAGGUCAAGUUCUGAUGACACUGGUCCAGCCCUUGGAUCCAGCUAUGCCUGAAGUCUUAACCUGGGACAUUUUGGA